UUCCAGACUCCUACGGGAGGCAGCAGUGAGGAAUAUUGGUCAAUGGGCGGGAGCCUGAACCAGCCAAGCCGCGUGAGGGGAGAAGGUACAGCGUAUCGUAAACCUCUUUUGUCAGGGAACAAAGGCGGGGACUAGUCCCCGGAUGAGGGUACCUGAAGAAAAAGCAUCGGCUAACUCCGUGCCAGCAGCCGCGGUAAUACGGAGGAUCCGAGCGUUAUCCGGAUUUAUUGGGUUUAAAGGGAGCGUAGAUGGGUUGUUAAGUCAGUUGUGAAAGUUUGCGGCUCAACCGUAAAAUUGCAAUUGAUACUGGCAGUCUUGAGUACAGUUGAGGUAGGCGGAAUUCGUGGUGUAGCGGUGAAAUGCUUAGAUAUCACGAAGAACUCCGAUUGCGAAGGCAGCUUACUAAACUGCCACUGACAUUGAUGCUCGAAAGUGUGGGUAUCAAACAGGAUUAGAUACCCGAGUAGUA
RNAcentral lists this ribosomal RNA (469 nucleotides) under uncultured bacterium. Its description in RNAcentral is "bacterial SSU rRNA". It matches the Rfam family "Bacterial small subunit ribosomal RNA", at positions 329 to 795 of the family's 1533-position model. The record is from RNAcentral.